ACGGAGGGGGCAAGCGUUAUUCGGAAUUACUGGGCGUAAAGCGCGCGCAGGUGGUGCGAUAAGUGGCAGGUGAAAUCCCUCGGCUUAACCGGGGAACGGCCUGCCAAACUGUCGCGCUUGAGGCUGGGAGGGGAGAGCGGAAUUCCUGGUGUAGCGGUGAAAUGCGUAGAUACUGGGAGGAACACCAGUGGCGAAGGCGGCUCACUGGGCUGGUUCUGACACUGAUGCGCGAAAGCGUGGGUAGCAAACAG
This 251-nucleotide ribosomal RNA is filed under the name uncultured prokaryote. RNAcentral's name for it is "partial 16S rRNA". It matches the Rfam family "Bacterial small subunit ribosomal RNA", at positions 525 to 775 of the family's 1533-position model. The record is from RNAcentral.